UUUCUCCUACGGGGGGCAGCAGUGGGGAAUAUUGCACAAUGGGGGGAACCCUGAUGCAGCAACGCCGCGUGAGUGAAGAAGUAUUUCGGUAUGUAAAGCUCUAUCAGCAGGGAAGAAGAUGACGGUACCUGAGUAAGAAGCCCCGGCUAACUACGUGCCAGCAGCCGCGGUAAUACGUAGGGGGCAAGCGUUAUCCGGAUUUACUGGGUGUAAAGGGAGCGUAGACGGCGAGGCAAGUCUGGAGUGAAAGCCCGGGGCUCAACCCCGGGACUGCUUUGGAAACUGCCUGGCUGGAGUGCUGGAGA
Molecule: ribosomal RNA, 305 nt
Filed under: uncultured bacterium
Lineage: Bacteria
Description: bacterial SSU rRNA
Rfam family: Bacterial small subunit ribosomal RNA
Source: RNAcentral